UGGCCAUGUAUGUGUACUGUCUUUGCUGGCUGCUCCUCGUCCCUUCCUUUCUAGUGUUCUUAGGCCUCGAUUUUGUUUACCUUUUGUAACUUUCACAGGAACACGAAACCCACACACCACAUCUCGCAGAUCUAUCGCCAUUCCCCAAACCCAGAAUUACCACCAUGUCCCAUCAUCCUCCACUCAAAGCCGUCACUCUCACCCACGUCCGGUACCAAAGGGGCGAUCGUUUAGGCCAUUUCUUAGCUUGGGUCUCGCUCGUCCCGGUCUUCAUAAGCCUAGGUGGAUUCAUUUGCCAUUUCAUCUUCCGUCGGGAACUUCAAGGCAUGUUCUUCGCCCUCGGACUCCUCAUUUCCCAAUUCAUUAGCGAGCUCAUCAAGAAAUCGGUCCAGCAAGCCCGCCCCGAGACCUGCAUCUUCCUCGAGAUGUGCGAUUCGCAUGGCUGGCCCUCCAGUCACUCCCAAUAUAUGUUCUUCUUCGCCACCUAUUUCACUCUCUUGACCUUUAAAGGAAUUGGAUUAACGGAGGUUAAGCACAAGUGGGCCAGAUGCUUCCUCCCCUGGUUAUUGGCGGUCUUGACCAUGCAGUCCAGGGUGUAUUUGGGCUACCAUACGGUUGCGCAGGUGUUUGCUGGUGCUACUUUGGGGAUUUUGCUUGGAGCUGCGUGGUUUUGGAUGGUGAAUUAUAAGCUAUUUUAUUUCUUUCCUGUGAUUGAGGAGAGCAGGUUCGGGAGGAUGUUUUAUGUCAAGGAUACUUCGCAUAUACAAAAUGUUUUGGAAUUUGAAUAUGAGAAUGCAAGAAGAGCUAGAAAGGAUAUGGCUGCCAAGUGCAAUUGAUCGACUAAUAUUUCUCUUCUGUCAUAUACAUGCCACGGAAUUCAUGAGGUGACAAAUGACUGUCAAAGCUGCCAGGGCGGUAAGGAACAGUUUGGCACAAACUAUCUGUGGAUCAGGGUCUUAAUAAGUAGGAUAAAGCAGCCCUUACAAGUAUUCACCUUACAUAUGGCACAACAUGAGGAUAGAGCAUGAGAUACUUUUCCAUUCAGUGCGGUUGAUAGCUUUUCAUAUCACUCUCGUGUUGCUUGUAUGGAUUGCAAGAUUCUUAUUAAGCAAGUGCAAGUCUUGUUUAUUAGUCACUUCAUCUAGAAGACUGGCCAUAUGGGAAGCAAACUGGAGGGAGUUGCAUUAAGGUUUAGAUUGUUUUGCAUUAAUGAGAUUAAUAUGAUUUGUCAUGCUUGAAGGAUCUCUACAUUACUGAAGGUGUCACAAAAACGUAAAUCUUUUAGACAAUAAAUUUAGAAGCUUUAGUUGACAUUUAAGCUUGAAGCUUGUACAAUAGAUCUCUUCCUUUUUUUGAUUUUUGUAAUGGAAUUUUAUUGAAUUCCUAGAAUUAAGCUGAUUAGCCCGGUUGGUGUCUUGAGAACUAAUUUUAUUUUCAAUA
Molecule: RNA transcript, 1440 nt
Organism: Manihot esculenta (cassava)
Lineage: Eukaryota; Viridiplantae; Streptophyta; Magnoliopsida; Malpighiales; Euphorbiaceae
Gene name: lipid phosphate phosphatase gamma
Exons: 3
Source: RefSeq, a predicted model, not a curated record